GGCAGAAAUCCGUCUCUGUGAGCGGAGGAGGGUGUGCUUAUGCGAGAGCAGGUUUUGGGAGCUCACUAAAGCAGGUCCCUGAUUCUGGUCUUGAAUAGCGGAGGAGGAAAAGAAGAUGAUGGGGGAAAAGAAAAGAAGCCAUUUAUGCAUCCCUCCCUAAUUCAGUAUCCGAGCAUGAGGGAGUGUCAAGCUAGUGGGGAAGAAGAGAGGGUUUAGUUUUGAAUGAAGUUGGGAGUUUUUAUUAUUGCACUGAACUAAAUAGGCAUUUUACUAAAGUCAAGACUGUUCUUGUUAUUUAAAGGAACGGGAUCAUCAAUGGAACUCUUUGAGAUUUCAUCCAGAGGCUGGGAAAGAACAUUCAUGGUAGCUUUUAUUAUUAUUUUCAUUAUUGUAAGUUGAGGAAGAGAAAACCCAGGAAAAUAUACAAAGAGUGAUUGGAAUUAAUAAGAGUAAAACAAGGUGGCUGUAUAAAAGGUCAAUAUUCAAAAUCAAUUUUGUUAUUACUUACUAGCAACAUAAUUUUUUUUUUUUUUUUUUGAGACAGAGUUUCACUCUUGUUGCCCAGGCUGGAGUGCAACGGCGUGAUCUUGGCUCACUGCAACCUCGGUCCAAAGUAUACGGCACUCCAAGAACAGUCGGAGCUACGUGGGAAGGGAGCUGGCCCAACUUUUUGAAGUUUGUUGGAGAAGGAUGGGUAUGUGACUUAUAGGCGUGUGUGUGUGUGUGUGUGUGUGUG
This 736-nucleotide long non-coding RNA is filed under the name Homo sapiens (human). RNAcentral's name for it is "HSALNT0005477". Lineage: Eukaryota; Metazoa; Chordata; Mammalia; Primates; Hominidae. The record is from RNAcentral.